CUCAGUUUAGUCACAAAAUUAUAACACAGAAAAACAGUUCGUACCCUUAUACGAAAAUAUUAAAGUGCGAAAAAUGCAACGAGGUCACGUUUUAUCUGACUAGGAAGUAAAAAGUUUGGAAAUCGGAUCGUUUUGUAAAGUCAGAUAAACAAACAUAGUACGGUUUACAAUUUAUAAAGAGAUAUUUAUUUCUUUCGUGUCAUCUGCGUUAGAUUGAAUGUGUGUUGUUUAUACGAGUAUAACGUGACUUUGCUUUUGUAAAAUUCAUUUUUAUUUUACGAUUUUGGACUUUAAACUGUGAAAUAUUGUAUUUUGUGGUUUUUAGAAUGUGCACAGAUGAGUCAUGGCUAUGAACAUAGCACCAGAGAGCAAACCGCAACAGCGACCUCUACCUUCUCCAAGGUCGCCUAAUGUGCGCGCGCGACCUAUAUUCCUGAA
Long non-coding RNA from Ruditapes philippinarum (Manila clam), 438 nucleotides. RefSeq lists it as uncharacterized. The transcript has 2 exons. Lineage: Eukaryota; Metazoa; Mollusca; Bivalvia; Venerida; Veneridae. The record is from RefSeq and is a predicted model, not a curated record.